Molecule: ribosomal RNA, 458 nt
Filed under: uncultured bacterium
Lineage: Bacteria
Description: partial 16S ribosomal RNA
Rfam family: Bacterial small subunit ribosomal RNA
Source: RNAcentral
CCUACGGGUGGCUGCAGUGAGGAAUAUUGGUCAAUGGGCGAGAGCCUGAACCAGCCAAGUCGCGUGAGGGAGUACUGCCCUAUGGGUUGUAAACCUCUUUUGUCGGGGAGCAAAAGCCGGACGUGUCCGGCUGUGAGAGUACCCGAAGCAAAAGCAUCGGCUAACUCCGUGCCAGCAGCCGCGGUAAUACGGAGGAUGCGAGCGUUAUCGGGAUUUAUUGGGUUUAAAGGGUGCGCAGGCGGAUUGUUAAGUCAGCGGUCAAAUCGUGGGGCUAAACCUCAUCCAGCCGUGGAAACUGGGGAUCUAGAGUGUGCGAGAGGUAUGCGGAAUGCGUGGUGUAGCGGUGAAAUGCUUAGAUAUCACGAAGAACUCCGAUGGCGAAGGCAGCUUACUAGACUGCCACUGACGUUGAUGCUCGAAAGCGUGGGUAUCAAACAGGAUUAGAUACCCGAGUAGUC